RNAcentral lists this unclassified non-coding RNA (140 nucleotides) under uncultured Venturiales. RNAcentral's name for it is "sequence contains ITS2". Lineage: Eukaryota; Fungi; Ascomycota; Dothideomycetes. The record is from RNAcentral.
CAACCCUCAAGCCCCGCUUGGUGAUGGGCCUCGCCUCCGCGGCGGGCCCGAAACUCGUAGGCGUCUCCUGCCGGCUCCAAGCGUAGCAAAACCCUCGCUUUGGAGACCGGCUGGCGGCCGCCUCGAACAAAUUUUUACAA